Molecule: ribosomal RNA, 406 nt
Filed under: uncultured Arcobacter sp.
Lineage: Bacteria; Pseudomonadati; Campylobacterota; Epsilonproteobacteria; Campylobacterales; Arcobacteraceae
Description: bacterial SSU rRNA
Rfam family: Bacterial small subunit ribosomal RNA
Source: RNAcentral
AAUAUAUAGGGUAACGUGCCCUAGAGAAGAGGAUAACAUUUGGAAACGAAUGCUAAUACUCUAUAUGCCUUUAAGACAUAAGUCUGCAAGGGAAAUAUUUAUAGCUCUAGGAUCGGCCUGUACGGUAUCAGCUUGUUGGUGAGGUAAUGGCUCACCAAGGCAAUGACACCUAACUGGUUUGAAAGGAUGAUCAGUCACACUGGAACUGAGACACGGUCCAGACUCCUACGGGAGGCAGCAGUGGGGAAUAUUGCACAAUGGACGAAAGUCUGAUGCAGCAACGCCGCGUGGAGGAUGACACAUUUCGGUGCGUAAACUCCUUUUAUAUAGGAAGAUAAUGACGGUACUAUAUGAAUAAGCGCCGGCUAACUCCGUGCCAUCAGCCGCGGUAAUACGUGAGGGCGCA